This 697-nucleotide ribosomal RNA is filed under the name uncultured bacterium. Its description in RNAcentral is "bacterial SSU rRNA". It matches the Rfam family "Bacterial small subunit ribosomal RNA", at positions 1 to 685 of the family's 1533-position model. The record is from RNAcentral.
AAUUCGAUUGUUUGAUCAUGGCUCAGGACGAACGCUGGCGGCGUGCUUAACACAUGCAAGUGGAGCGACGAACCAGGCUUCGGCCUGGGGCAAAGCCGCGAACGGGUGAGUAACACGUGGGUAACCUGCCCUGAUGAUCGGGACAACCCGGGGAAACCCGGGCUAAUACCGAAUGUGCCCGCGAGCCACAAGGCUCGCGCGGAAAGGAAGCUUUGGCCUCCGCAUCGGGAUGGGCCCGCGGCCCAUUAGCUUGUUGGUGGGGUAAUGGCCUACCAAGGCAGCAAUGGGUAGCUGGUCUGAGAGGACGAUCAGCCACACUGGGACUGAGACACGGCCCAGACUCCUACGGGAGGCAGCAGUGGGGAAUCUUGCGCAAUGCGCGAAAGCGUGACGCAGCAACGCCGCGUGGGGGAAGACGGCCUUCGGGUUGUAAACCCCUUUCAGUUGGGACGAAGCUUCGUCGGUGAAUAGCCGGCUGGAGUGACGGUACCUUCAGAAGAAGCCCCGGCUAACUACGUGCCAGCAGCCGCGGUAAUACGUAGGGGGCAAGCGUUGUCCGGAAUCAUUGGGCGUAAAGAGCGUGUAGGCGGCCCGAUAAGUCCGCCGUGAAAGUCCAGGGCUCAACCCUGGAAUGCCGGUGGAUACUGUCGGGCUAGAGUCCGGAAGGGGCGAGUGGAAUUCCUGGUGUAGCGGUGAA